CACACGCCUCCUGUGUACUGGGCACCGAGCUUGUGGUCUCCUCAUGGUCUAGCUCAAGUCGUCCCUCCCCCGUGAAGCAUCCCCUGGAUCCCUCAAGGAAUCACUCUUCCCCAGGAACUUCCUGCAGGGGAUGUCAAUCAUUUAGCAUCUCGCAAGUGUCCACACAUUUCCCCCUGGACUGCCAUUCAUCUUCUCGGGAACAUGCCCAACCUCUCUCACUGCUGGGAGGAAGAUCGAAGUCUCUUUCUUUUCGGAUGUGCCCCGCCCACAAGGGAUGCCCAUUCAUUGUCUUGACAACGAGGAAGGCUUAACAGAGACAACACUUUCUCCCAUCUGCGCAGAAGCACGCACAGGAUAAUUCUAUCUUCGUGAGGGUUUGUAAGGAGUAAAACGCCAGACAGGGAACUACACACUAAAUGGUCCACGCGGUCAGAGCCGAGGAAGUGCCUGAGCAUCUUCAUCCCUGGGAGACACCAGGGCACAGAGGGCGAGACUCAGCCCUGUGUCCGCUUCUCUGCUCACUACUUACUGACUGAGUGGCCUUGGACAAGUCACUUGACCUCUGCAAAACUCAGUUCCCUCAUCAGCAAAACAGGGCUAGUUUUACCUUUCUGUGUGGUUGUUAGGAUUAAACGAGACAAGAAUGACGAAGCAGUGAGAGUUCAAUAAGGGUCGGAGAUGCAGCCCCUUCCUCCGGCUCAGUGAAGAAUCCAUUUUCCACUAAGUGGUAAACACCAUAAAGGCAGGGACACCCCCACCGUGCUCAAGGUCAUGUUCCCAGUGCUUAGCACUGUGUUUGGUCUGGAGGUGUUGCAGAGGUGGGUAGGGUAGUAAGCCAGGUUAGACACCCACAUGGAGCCCAGGAAAUCCAGUGAACAGAACUAACCAGUCUCUUCUUUGUUUGGCUCUUUAUUCUGCUUCUGCCUUCCAAUUUGGGACCGCUAUAAUCCAGAAACCUGAGGAAGCCACUUCCACAGCCCCAAUUGUGUGUGAGACAGAUGUUAUGGAGGGCUGAGGGUAGCCAGGCCAAUCUAAGGCAUCACUGGUAGCCUGCCUGCCCCUGCCCAAGGGAUUCUCCAAGCUGGGGUUUAGGGACAGAACCCUGGAAGGAAAGAAAACGCUUGGGGCUGGGCCAGGCAGGGAGCUGGAAGGAGUCACUACUUCUGCCAUUAACUAGUCGUGAAACUCUGAGCCUCAGUUGCCUAGUCUGCGAAAAAAGGAGCUUAAGCCCAUCUUGCAGCUGCCUGAGGCCUGGGAAGCGGCCAGCACGUGCAUGGCACACUGCCG
This 1287-nucleotide long non-coding RNA is filed under the name Mustela putorius furo (domestic ferret). RNAcentral describes it as "lncRNA (ENSMPUG00000031041.1)". Lineage: Eukaryota; Metazoa; Chordata; Mammalia; Carnivora; Mustelidae. The record is from RNAcentral.